GAUGGAAAAGCGCUCAGAAGCAGAUGACUGUAGUGAGGCAUAAGAAGACGCCCCACCUGCCUUCCCGCGGGGACAAGGGGCAGCAUUCCCUGUAGCACACAGGGCAGGAGGUGAGCUGCACGGUGUUUUCCUGAGCUGGAAAGGCGGUUCCCGCAGACCGCUGCCCCGGGAGCACAAGGACUGCUGGAGAGGCCGGGCGUCUGGAGGAGGGGCUGCCCUGCCUCCCGGAAGCGGACCUUGCUCCCCACCCCACCCCCGAGGGCUGGCUCUGGGCAGGCGCACUAUGCCUUACCUUGUUGGGGUUUCAGGCCUAUGGGUCACCAGAGAAUAUUUAAGACAGGAUGCAAGUCCACAGACUCCAGCUGAGCCUCAUGAUUCUGUGUGGACAGCAGUGCAGUCUUGAGAAGACCUGUCCUUUGGCCAUCGUCACGGUUACAGUGAAUGGUGACGCUCAGCGCCCUCCAAAGGAAGGCAGCUCAUAAAAACAUGAGGCGGUGUCCUCCUCCGCCUUACUCACCAGAGCCGGCGCCAAUCGACUUCUGGCUCUUCCUCCAAAGUCAAAAUGACCAUAAAAGGGAGACCUUCUGGAUCCAUUCGGGACAUCCAGGCAGCCACAACAGUGCAACUGAAGAGCCUCGGGAAGGGGGACUCCCGGAGCUGCUGCAGACAGUGGCGAGCACCAAGGGAGGAGUGUGUUCCAAGUGAGGGGAGGAUUUUGAGGGGGAUUCACAGCCGCAUGUCUUUUACUGCAGUAAAUUUCUUAAAACUUGGAAACACUGACCACAGUUUCUGAUCCCACCUUGUAUGCGCUGUGUCUUUUGCACACUUCUCUUUGGAGGCCGAAUCCUCCGCCUCUUUGUACAUGGUUCGUCCUUACUCCUGGCUGCACGCUGCGCUCCUCUGGCCUUUGUGCUCUCUGUUUACCCGUCUGCUGCCGAUGGACAGUUGCAUCUUUCCCAUGCUGGACUUGAGGAUGCCACGCAGCUCCAGCUGCGGGGACCACGUGCCUGGCCUUGGACAGGACGGCCCAUAUCGGGGGCCUCUUCUCCAUCAUUGUCCUUGUCGCCGGCACACAAGACCCACGGCCCACAACUUAGAGGAGGCUCGCGGUUGCAGAAGUUUCACCCGGCAGUUGGGGCUCACGCACAGAAGCAGCCCGACAGAGUGGCCUGCCGUGGGGACAGCUGCCUGGCCACAGGGCCAGGAAGCAGAGAAAAAAGGGAGGUAUGGGGACAGAGACGUGUCCAGCUCCCCGGGGUCCCACAUCCUGACAGCGGGUCAGCUUGCCAUCCGUCACCCUCCAGAGCCCUGCUGCUGACACAGGCCAUGCAGGAUGCCUAGAUCCAGCCACCCGGCUCUCCAGAGAAGAUGGUGCUGUUUGUCCGCUGGCUCCCCCUCCCCAGACUGGUGCUGCCCGUUACUGAGUGAUCCUCUGACACAGCGUCACUUCGUCUUACCUGCAGGGGUGUUUGCACGCAGGGGAUGGUGGUGCUACGUGUGUGUGGGUCGUCCUGUGUGUCAAAUAAGUGUUCACAGAGAAGUCAGAACCGAUGUUGCUAAGGAGUGCGUAGCUCUGCUAUGAAUAUAA
Fukomys damarensis (Damara mole-rat) is the source of this 1588-nucleotide long non-coding RNA. RefSeq lists it as uncharacterized. NCBI's taxonomy places the organism in Eukaryota, Metazoa, Chordata, Mammalia, Rodentia, Bathyergidae. The transcript is spliced from 3 exons. The record is from RefSeq and is a predicted model, not a curated record.